RNAcentral lists this non-coding RNA (28 nucleotides) under Homo sapiens (human). The record is from RNAcentral. Lineage: Eukaryota; Metazoa; Chordata; Mammalia; Primates; Hominidae.
UAAAGUGCUAUAAUUCAGAGCAUGGAGC